Molecule: ribosomal RNA, 1064 nt
Filed under: Entelexis sorbosivorans
Lineage: Eukaryota; Fungi; Ascomycota; Dipodascomycetes; Dipodascales; Trichomonascaceae
Description: Starmerella sorbosivorans partial large subunit ribosomal RNA
Rfam family: Eukaryotic large subunit ribosomal RNA (bases 1-469)
Source: RNAcentral
CAAGUGUCUCUGUUGCGAAGAGAAACGUGAGAAAGGCUAAGAAAGGCGAAAUUCUUAUUUCCAACCCUCGGGGUUGUAAUCUGGAUACCUGGAUUUGGCACCCUGAUAAGUCUUCUGGAACGGACCGCCAUGGAGGGUGACAGCCCCGUAGCAGCAGCCACUGUAAAUCCGGGUCGACGAGUCUAGUUGUUUGGGAAUGCAGCUCUUGUGGGUGGUAUGCUCCAUCUAAAGCUAAAUAUUGGCGAGAGACCGAUAGCAAACAAGUACUGUGAAGGAAAGAUGAAAAGAACUUUGAAAAGAGAGUGAAAAAGUACGUGAAAUUGUUGAAAUGGAAGGCAAUGAGGUGCGAUUGAACCGGUUUUUUGUGGGCAGGACAAAAGCGCAGGCCGCCUCGGCAUUGCCUGCGUGCAUACUGCCUCGCGGACUACCGGUUCUAACAACGCCUUAUUGCACCCCUCUUGAAACACAGACCCCGGGUUAUAUUAUUCCGGAGAAAAUUUCCCCCCCCCUUAAAAAAAAAGCGGGGGGAGUAUUUGUAGAGAAAGAAAACCUCCCCCCGAGGGUUAGAAGAAAGGGGGACAUAUACAUCAGAGAAGAAGGUGAUGUGAACACAAAAAAGGAGUGAAGUCGCUAAGAGGAAAGAGUGAACCCAUCGGCGUCUCCCCAUAGUAGGAGACCCUCCAGGUCGGCCGCACCCGAUAAUUCGUCCAUAUCCUAACCGCACGCGGCUAUAGGCAAGCAACAGCUGCCCCAGAACACAAGAGAGAAUACGAAGAAACAAAUGAAGAAGGGGAGAGAUGCGUAGAUAGAACGAGAGAAAAGGACGGCGACAGAUAACGAAAUAGUAAUGCAGAAAGGAUGCAUAUGGGAUGCAAGGAGCAUGGGAGCAAUAGAUGAUAAACUGAUCAGACGAUGCAUAAAAAGAGAAACAAAAGAGAGUGUACAGGGACCGUCCUGGCGCACACGAUCACCAAAUAGAGACUAAGCAAAGCCCGCACACGACGGAACUGAGGCACAAACAUGACUGCAUAAGUCAGUAAGGGCUAGCAGGGGGGGCUAAAUGG